AUCGCUUCUCGGCCUUUUGGCUAAGAUCAAGUGGAGUGUUUGCCCCUAUUUUCAUUGGUAGUUCUCAGCUGGUGUUUAUAUUUGUGACUGUUGUUAUCUGUCUCCACUAUUGCCAUAGUGCUAGUCUGUGGUCAUGGCCAACCCACU
Molecule: small nuclear RNA, 147 nt
Filed under: Fukomys damarensis (Damara mole-rat)
Lineage: Eukaryota; Metazoa; Chordata; Mammalia; Rodentia; Bathyergidae
Description: U2 spliceosomal RNA
Rfam family: U2 spliceosomal RNA
About the family: U2 is a small nuclear RNA (snRNA) component of the spliceosome (involved in pre-mRNA splicing). Complementary binding between U2 snRNA (in an area lying towards the 5' end but 3' to hairpin I) and the branchpoint sequence (BPS) of the intron results the bulging out of an unpaired adenosine, on the BPS, which initiates a nucleophilic attack at the intronic 5' splice site, thus starting the first of two transesterification reactions that mediate splicing.
Source: Rfam by way of RNAcentral